RNAcentral lists this ribosomal RNA (502 nucleotides) under uncultured Glomeromycotina. RNAcentral's name for it is "partial small subunit ribosomal RNA". It matches the Rfam family "Eukaryotic small subunit ribosomal RNA", at positions 591 to 1092 of the family's 1831-position model. Lineage: Eukaryota; Fungi; Glomeromycota. The record is from RNAcentral.
CCAAUAGCGUAUAUUAAAGUUGUUGCAGUUAAAAAGCUCGUAGUUGAAUUUCGGGGUUCAUCCGUUGGUCGGGCUUUUUGGUCUGUACUGGCGUGAUGGAUUCCUACCUUCUGAAUAACCGGCAUGUCAUUAAUUUGGUGCGCCGGGGAAGCAGGACUGUUACCUUGAAAAAAUUAGAGUGCUUAAAGCAGGCUAUCGCCUGAAUACAUUAGCAUGGAGUAAUGAAAUAGGACGGCAUGGUUCUAUUUUGUUGGUUUCUAGGAUCACCGUAAUGAUUAAUAGGGAUAGUUGGGGGCAUUAGUAUUCAAUUGUCAGAGGUGAAAUUCUUGGAUCUAUUGAAGACUAACUUCUGCGAAAGCAUUUGCCAAGGAUGUUUUCAUUAAUCAAGAACGAAAGUUAGGGGAUCGAAGACGAUCAGAUACCGUCGUAGUCUUAACCAUAAACUAUGCCGACUAGGGAUCGGACGAUGUUAAUUUUUUAAUGACUCGUUCGGCGCCUUACG